UACGUAGGGGGCAAGCGUUGUCCGGAAUCAUUGGGCGUAAAGCGCGUGUAGGCGGCUCGAUAAGUCUGCUGUGAAAGUCCAAGGCUCAACCUUGGGAUGCCGGUGGAUACUGUCGAGCUCGAGUCCGGAAGAGGAGUGUGGAAUUCCUGGUGUAGCGGUGAAAUGCGCAGAUAUCAGGAAGAACACCAAUGGCGAAGGCAGCUCUCUGGGACGGUACUGACGCUGAGACGCGAAAGCGUGGGGAGCGAACAGG
RNAcentral lists this ribosomal RNA (253 nucleotides) under uncultured bacterium. RNAcentral describes it as "partial 16S ribosomal RNA". It matches the Rfam family "Bacterial small subunit ribosomal RNA", at positions 524 to 776 of the family's 1533-position model. The record is from RNAcentral.